GCUAUCUUAGUAGCGGAAGUUACCGCUACUAAAAUAGCUGUAACGUCCGCUAUCAAGGUAGCUGUAACUUCCGCUAUUAAGAUAGC
RNAcentral lists this microRNA precursor (86 nucleotides) under Lotus japonicus. Its description in RNAcentral is "miR7526g stem-loop (lja-MIR7526g)". The record is from miRBase by way of RNAcentral. Lineage: Eukaryota; Viridiplantae; Streptophyta; Magnoliopsida; Fabales; Fabaceae.